GAUGAACGCUGGCGGCGUGCUUAACACAUGCAAGUCGAACGGACUUUACAUGAAGCCUAGCGAAUGUAAAGUUAGUGGCGGACGGGUGAGUAACGCGUGAAUAACCUGCCUUACACUGGGGGACAACAGUUGGAAACGACUGCUAAUACCGCAUAAGCGCACAGCUUCGCAUGAAGCAGUGUGAAAAACUCCGGUGGUGUAAGAUGGAUUCGCGUCUGAUUAGAUAGUUGGUGAGGUAACGGCUCACCAAGUCGACGAUCAGUAGCCGGCCUGAGAGGGUGAACGGCCACAUUGGGACUGAGAUACGGCCCAGACUCCUACGGGAGGCAGCAGUGGGGAAUAUUGGGCAAUGGGGGAAACCCUGAUGCAGCGACGCCGCGUGAGUGAAGAAGUAUUUCGGUAUGUAAAGCUCUAUCAGCAGGGAAGAUAAUGACGGUACCUGACUAAGAAGCCCCGGCUAACUACGUG
This 468-nucleotide ribosomal RNA is filed under the name uncultured bacterium. Its description in RNAcentral is "bacterial SSU rRNA". It matches the Rfam family "Bacterial small subunit ribosomal RNA", at positions 28 to 507 of the family's 1533-position model. The record is from RNAcentral.